GAGCAUUAGCUCAGUUGGUAGAGCACUUGACUUUUAAUCAAGUUGUCCGGGGUUCGAAUCCCCGAUG
This 67-nucleotide transfer RNA is filed under the name Blautia producta. It matches the Rfam family "tRNA", at positions 5 to 66 of the family's 71-position model. From Rfam's summary of the family: Transfer RNA (tRNA) molecules are approximately 80 nucleotides in length. Their secondary structure includes four short double-helical elements and three loops (D, anti-codon, and T loops). RNAcentral also lists the same sequence under 10 other names. The record is from RNAcentral. Lineage: Bacteria; Bacillati; Bacillota; Clostridia; Lachnospirales; Lachnospiraceae.